CUACGGGUCGCAGCAGUAGGGAAUAUUGGUUAAUGGGCGAAAGCCUGAACCAGCAACGCCGCGUGCGCGAUGAAGGCCUUCGGGCUGUAAAGCGCUUUUUGAGGGGAUGAGAAAGGACAGUACCCUCAGAAUAAGUCUCGGCUAACUACGUGCCAGCAGCCGCGGUAAAACGUAGGAGGCGAGCGUUAUCCAGAUUUACUGGGCGUAAAGCGCGUGCAGGCGGUUCGGUAAGUUGGAUGUGAAAGCUCCUGGCUAAACUGGGAGAGGUCGUUCAAUACUGCCGGGCUAGAGGAUGGGAGAGGGAGGUGGAAUUCCGGGUGUAGUGGUGAAAUGCGUAGAUAUCCGGAGGAACACCAGUGGCGAAGGCGGCCUCCUGGCCCAUAUCUGACGCUCAGACGCGAAAGCUAGGGUAGCAAACGGGAUUAGAUACCCGGGUAGUC
RNAcentral lists this ribosomal RNA (440 nucleotides) under uncultured bacterium. Its description in RNAcentral is "partial 16S ribosomal RNA". It matches the Rfam family "Bacterial small subunit ribosomal RNA", at positions 339 to 795 of the family's 1533-position model. The record is from RNAcentral.